RNAcentral lists this ribosomal RNA (497 nucleotides) under uncultured bacterium. Its description in RNAcentral is "partial 16S ribosomal RNA". It matches the Rfam family "Bacterial small subunit ribosomal RNA", at positions 28 to 507 of the family's 1533-position model. The record is from RNAcentral.
GAUGAACGCUGGCGGCGUGCCUAAUACAUGCAAGUCGAGCGAACAGACGAGGAGCUUGCUCCUCUGACGUUAGCGGCGGACGGGUGAGUAACACGUGGAUAACCUACCUAUAAGACUGGGAUAACUUCGGGAAACCGGAGCUAAUACCGGAUAAUAUAUUGAACCGCAUGGUUCAAUAGUGAAAGACGGUUUUGCUGUCACUUAUAGAUGGAUCCGCGCCGCAUUAGCUAGUUGGUAAGGUAAAGGCUUACCAAGGCGACGAUGCGUAGCCGACCUGAGAGGGUGAUCGGCCACACUGGAACUGAGACACGGUCCAGACUCCUACGGGAGGCAGCAGUAGGGAAUCUUCCGCAAUGGGCGAAAGCCUGACGGAGCAACGCCGCGUGAGUGAUGAAGGUCUUCGGAUCGUAAAACUCUGUUAUUAGGGAAGAACAAAUGUGUAAGUAACUAUGCACGUCUUGACGGUACCUAAUCAGAAAGCCACGGCUAACUACGUG